RNAcentral lists this ribosomal RNA (316 nucleotides) under Cutibacterium acnes. RNAcentral's name for it is "bacterial SSU rRNA". It matches the Rfam family "Bacterial small subunit ribosomal RNA", at positions 84 to 401 of the family's 1533-position model. Lineage: Bacteria; Bacillati; Actinomycetota; Actinomycetes; Propionibacteriales; Propionibacteriaceae. The record is from RNAcentral.
GGGGUGCUCGAGUGGCGAACGGGUGAGUAACACGUGAGUAACCUGCCCUUGACUUUGGGAUAACUUCAGGAAACUGGGGCUAAUACCGGAUAGGAGCUCCUGCUGCAUGGUGGGGGUUGGAAAGUUUCGGCGGUUGGGGAUGGACUCGCGGCUUAUCAGCUUGUUGGUGGGGUAGUGGCUUACCAAGGCUUUGACGGGUAGCCGGCCUGAGAGGGUGACCGGCCACAUUGGGACUGAGAUACGGCCCAGACUCCUACGGGAGGCAGCAGUGGGGAAUAUUGCACAAUGGGCGGAAGCCUGAUGCAGCAACGCCGCG